This 322-nucleotide ribosomal RNA is filed under the name uncultured bacterium. RNAcentral describes it as "bacterial SSU rRNA". It matches the Rfam family "Bacterial small subunit ribosomal RNA", at positions 29 to 334 of the family's 1533-position model. The record is from RNAcentral.
AACGAACGCUGGCGGCAGGCCUAACACAUGCAAGUCGAGCGCGAAAUUCAACUUCGGUUGGAGAGUAGAGCGGCGCACGGGUGAGUAACACGUGAGUAAUCUGCCCUGGAGACUGGGAUAACAGCACGAAAGAGCUGCUAAUACCGGAUAAGCCUACACCACCGUGGUGGAGUAGGAAAAGUGGGGGAACCUUCGGGUCCUCAUGCUCUUGGAUGAGCACGCGGUCCAUUAGGUAGUUGGUGGGGUAACGGCCCACCAAGCCGAAGAUGGAUAGCUGGUUUGAGAGGACGAUCAGCCACACUGGCACUGAGACACGGGCCAG